RNAcentral lists this unclassified non-coding RNA (253 nucleotides) under Hevea brasiliensis (rubber tree). The record is from RNAcentral. Lineage: Eukaryota; Viridiplantae; Streptophyta; Magnoliopsida; Malpighiales; Euphorbiaceae.
AAACAAGAAAUUUAACUGAUCAUCCCUGGGUUAAUAGCAAAGAGUAAGCAUAGUCUUUACAUGAUAAAAACUAUUGGCUAAUGGCUGUCAAAACUUUUACCCCAAUAAGAGUUCACCUAAACUCAGAAUCACUGCAGUAAAGCCUUAGACUAACAUCCCUACUUCCUGACUGAAACUUUCAGUACUAAACCAUUUCUUUCACACUAUAAUACAAGCCUAGCUUGCCCUUGCCCCUUCACAUUUUCACUUUUUU